CAGCCACAUCAUGUGGAAACACCAGUUCUCAUAUGAUCACCAAAGUUAAGCAACAUCAAGCUUGGCAAGUACCUAGAUGGAUGAUUGCUUGGGAAUACCAGGUGCUGUAA
Acanthosepion pharaonis is the source of this 110-nucleotide non-coding RNA. Lineage: Eukaryota; Metazoa; Mollusca; Cephalopoda; Sepiida; Sepiidae. The record is from the annotation of a GenBank genome assembly.